UCAGUUCCUUCAAGCUUCUUCGCUUCUCAGUGGUUCUGAGUCGUUCUGCAGAACAAACCCAUGUUGAUCUGAUCAGAUAAACAACACACGGUCGCAGGAUGCUUUCUUUCUUACUCGUCGUCUGUCUGACGCUGGCUGGAGCUGAUUCACAUCGUCACUACGGAAGGAAAUCCUCAAGCGAUGAGGAGAUUUAUUUCAAUCAUUACCCCGCUCACAAGCCUACUUGGUUUAACAUCUUUUGGAAGUUCUAUCCAUGGAUUAUACCUGGUCCCGCCCCUGCUCCAGGCCCCGCCCCUGCUCCAGGACCCACUCCUGCCCCACCCGUUACCACAAACCGUGGAGACAGCGGUUAAAACUCUUCCAGACCCGGAUCUGUCCUGAACGAAUUACAGAUAAACCUCUGAGCUCACGACCAGGAAGAUUUAUAAAGUAUUCAUUCUUUAAAUAAAAUUUGAUGCAUUGUGCAGGCGUGUGUGUGUGUGUGUGUGUGUGCGUGUGUGUGUGUGUGUGUGAGAAGAAAGUAAAAUGUUUUCAUUUCCUUAUAAAGUGACUCAGAUUUAAAGUCAAGAACAAAUAUUUAGGUAAAAGUUUUAUUUAGAAAAGUUUCACUGCGGUAUUUUUGCUCUACAGAAUCAUUUUAAUAACCUUAUGAACAUCAUUCCUCUGUGAAACUGUUGAUUUGUCUCCUUCAUUACUGUGUGUGUGUGUGUGUGUGUGUGUGUGUGUGUGUGUGUGUUAGGUCUUCUUGGUCAUGAACUCAGACUUUUUUUUACUG
This is a long non-coding RNA of Ictalurus punctatus (channel catfish), 775 nucleotides long. The record is from Ensembl. NCBI's taxonomy places the organism in Eukaryota, Metazoa, Chordata, Actinopteri, Siluriformes, Ictaluridae.